RNAcentral lists this transfer RNA (73 nucleotides) under Stegodyphus mimosarum. It matches the Rfam family "tRNA". Rfam says of the family: Transfer RNA (tRNA) molecules are approximately 80 nucleotides in length. Their secondary structure includes four short double-helical elements and three loops (D, anti-codon, and T loops). Further hydrogen bonds mediate the characteristic L-shaped molecular structure. tRNAs have two regions of fundamental functional importance: the anti-codon, which is responsible for specific mRNA codon recognition, and the 3' end, to which the tRNAs corresponding amino acid is attached (by aminoacyl-tRNA synthetases). tRNAs cope with the degeneracy of the genetic code in two manners: having more than one tRNA (with a specific anti-codon) for a particular amino acid; and 'wobble' base-pairing, i.e. permitting non-standard base-pairing at the 3rd anti-codon position. The record is from Rfam by way of RNAcentral. Lineage: Eukaryota; Metazoa; Arthropoda; Arachnida; Araneae; Eresidae.
GCCUUCGUGGUGUAGUGGUUCGCACGCUGGGCGCGUAUUCCAGAGGUCUGUGGUUCAAGUCCCGGCGAGGGCA